UCUGAGACUCGGCAGAGGCAACACCGUGAAACUUCCAAGCCGAAGCAAUAUCAUGGCUCCCUUCAACAAUGGCCGAUCAUGCUUUGUUGCAGAUGAUGAUGUUUCUGAGGGCUCGGAAACAGCGUCCUUCAUAAGCUUUCAGGUAACUGUGCAGGUCCUGAAAACCAGCUCACACGCAGCAGUUUCUUCAGAACUUUUAAGCAGGGCCUUUUGGCACUCACACACAAACUGGAACAAGCCUUGUAAAGCAAACUAGAGAGGUUAUCACUCAAGGAAGAAAGAAAACAAGAAGGCGGUGUAGUAGAAAUCAUCCACCCGUGAUUCUGGGAACCGUAGGGCCCCAUCCAUGGCUUCUGUUGUAGAUCUCCCGCACCACCUGCCUGAUCUUCUCCACAGCGAGCUCAAUGCUUCCUGCUUUCAGGUUUGUCUACAAGAUUUUCCAGUUGGUGAGAUGACUGCAAAUAUGGAAGAUAACUGGUGCAGGAUCAUUAGGCAUUUUCUUAUCAAAACAUGCUGCAUUUCUGGUUUUCCAUAUUGUCCACCAUAGAGCAGUCCCUCCCAUCAUAGCCAUUUUUCUUUUGGCUGGGAGGGAACUGGUCCAGUAAGCCAGAAGUAAGAUCGUAAGAUCAUGAACAUCAUCAGGCGUCUCACAAGGUCAAAAGCACAGAGAAUCACAUUAUAUUCAAACAGCAGAUGUUUGAUGAAGCAACCCGUUAAACGUAGCAAUCAGGAAGACAACCUGAUCUAUCGCCGCAGAGCUCGCCACGAGCAAGUGUCAACAAGAUCGGCAGAGUGGCAGCGGGGAAGCUUGACAGAUCGCUCGUCUCACAGAUAGGAAUAGCUUCCUAAUUUGGCUUCAGAACUCGGACAAGCUCUAAAUGAACGGACAGGACUAACCCGGUGGGAUCAAAAUUAGAAGCCACCGACACCGACAGCACUAACUAAACGGGAGCGCGCAUUGACCAGCGCGCGGAGCAGAACCCGUGCGACCGCCUCGUCUCACCGAUGCACCGCGGCGAUCGGGAUCCGUUUACCGAUUCGCCGGCUCCAGGCACGACGACGAGGAACGAGAGAGAGGGAAGGACCGGGCGGGCGGGAAGGAGAGGAGCUAGCCGAACCUGUGGUGGCCGGUGCGGAGAAGAAGAGCACCGCCGCGAGCAGCACGGCGCAGCAGGCCGCGGAUCUGGAGCUCCCGGCGACGCCACCAACCGGCGCCAUUUCCUCCACCGACACUCCCCAGCAGCAGCUGCAGCUACCCACCCACCGACCCCCGCUCCGCUCUGCACGGCGAGGAAUGCGGCCGCGCCCGCCGAGGAAGGGGGCAGCUGGAGAUCUGAGGCGACUGAGCAGGUGGUGGUGGUGGAGGAGGAGGGAGUGGGACUUAAAGCAUGUGCGGCCGCGGCCGUCUCCCCAGUUUUUACUGCGACGAGACGAGACGAGACGCGCUCCGUCUGCGAGUCUGCUUGCUCCCUCACGGACGCUUCCUUGCGCGCCUCGGUGGGAAUUAUAUCGCGGGGAGGGGGCGCCUUUUUUUUCUUUCCUCACCCGCGGAUGUGACGGCCCAACCUCCGAGGUGGUUCGGACCGAAAUGCCCUCCGCUCGUACAGCUGUUCCCUAUUGGGCGAUGGAUGUCACUCGUCGGGAGCUGGGACAGGGACUGCGACCUCUGCCCCGGCCAUGGCGCUCGGGAGUGGAUCCUUCUGCAUGAGCGAACUUUGCUAAAUCUGACAAAGUCCCAUGCCGAAACAUAGCACAUGUUUGAAACAAAAGGACCAGACACACUCAGUUCUGCAUCGGCAAACUUUGCUAAAUCUGACAACGUUUGGUGUCAAAAUACUAAGGCUAGUUAUAGUGGGAGUAACUUAGCUAAUAACAUAGCGCAUUUAGAAAUUUUUUUGCCAAUGAGUAGUAACAUUACUGUAACAUAGCGCUUUCCAAAACAAUAUGAGUCUACAAGCUAAUAAAUAAAGUCAUCUAUGCUACUACUACUACCUUACUUUGCACUAUGAAGGUAGUAGUAACUUCCCUUGGAAGUGAGGGGGCUUCCAUGGCAAGUUGUUACGGUGACGGCGGUGCGAGGUAUCUGAUCGGGACUGGCCGGGAUCUUGGAGACGGGGAGAUGUGCAGCGCUACGGAUGAAAAUCCUGUUCGGUUGUGGUCGGACCGGCGUUGAUGGCACCUGCGGGUGUCGUUCACCUUCCUGGAGGCUUCGCCGAGUGCAACGCCAUCUUCCUCGCGACCUCGUAUCGGCAGCUAUCUCCGGGGCGAAAGCCCUGAUUCGUAGGAUCCGCAUGAUGGCAACGUCUUUGAGGUUGUUACUCUGUUGGGAGCAUUGUGCUGGGAGACUCAAGGUCCCAUGAUGUGCUCCUCCGGUGUUCACCGCUGCCCGAAUCUUUCUCCUCUGGCGCCAUGUACGGUCGUCGCUGGCUAUUUCAAGGAAGCUGGAGUUGCUGUUCUUCAGAGGUCUUCAGUGUCGGCCGAGACGCGGCGAGGGGCUCGGUGUUGGGUAGGCUUUUUGUGUCGUAGUUGUGUUGUUGUGUUUGGUUGUCCUUGUACAAACCGGGUGUGGAGUGGGUCGCCUUCGAGUGGUAGACGUUGUUGUAUGUCUUAUUUCUCUUCUUCUAUAAAGCUAAGGUACGCAAUUUGCGUAUCCUCGAAAAAAACUUAGAUUAGUAUGCAUGACACUCGUACAAGUUACUCCUCAUUAUGACCAGCCUAACAUGUUCUCCAACACAACUCGAAGAGACGAUCUGUGGCGUGUAGGGGCGGGGGCCGCAUGACUGCAUUGACAAUUGGAAAGUGAUUUUGUGAUUAGAGUUUAGUUAAUUAAUGCAGCUUUUGGUAUAACUUUUGUGAGAGAGUGUGUGCCCCACACACCCCACCUUUAAUGUUUUUCCUUUUGACUUGUAAAUCUGAAUCUAUUAUAUCGUUUGAAUCAAAAGUCUAAUUUA
Long non-coding RNA from Triticum dicoccoides, 2951 nucleotides. RefSeq lists it as uncharacterized. The record is from RefSeq and is a predicted model, not a curated record. NCBI's taxonomy places the organism in Eukaryota, Viridiplantae, Streptophyta, Magnoliopsida, Poales, Poaceae. The transcript is spliced from 3 exons.